Molecule: ribosomal RNA, 497 nt
Filed under: uncultured bacterium
Lineage: Bacteria
Description: partial 16S ribosomal RNA
Rfam family: Bacterial small subunit ribosomal RNA
Source: RNAcentral
GACGAACGCUGGCGGCGUGCCUAUACAUGCAAGUCGCACGAGAGCAACCGGUGCUUGCACUGGUCAAUCUAGUGGCGAACGGGUGAGUAACACGUGGGUAACCUGCCCAUCAGAGGGGGAUAACAUCCGGAAACGGAUGCUAAAACCGCAUAGGUCUUCGAACCGCAUGGUUUGAAGAGGAAAAGAGGCGCAAGCUUCUGCUGAUGGAUGGACCCGCGGUGCAUUAGCUAGUUGGUGAGGUAACGGCUCACCAAGGCCGUGAUGCAUAGCCGACCUGAGAGGGUGAUCGGCCACAUUGGGACUGAGACACGGCCCAAACUCCUACGGGAGGCAGCAGUAGGGAAUCUUCCGCAAUGGACGCAAGUCUGACGGAGCAACGCCGCGUGAGCGAAGAAGGUUUUCGGAUCGUAAAACUCUGUUGUUAGAGAAGAACAAGUGCUAGAGUAACUGUUAGCGCCUUGACGGUAUCUAACCAGAAAGCCACGGCUAACUACGUG